AAGUCCCGCAACGAGCGCAACCCUACGUUUAGUUGCCAUCGGGUGGAGCCGGGCACUCUGGACGAACUGCCGUUGACAAAACGGAGGAAGUGGGGAUGACGUCAAUCAUCAUGCCCUUAUGUCCUGGGCCACACACGUGCUACAAUGGCCGGUACAGAGGGAAGCGAAGCCGUGAGGUGGAGCAAAUCCCAAAAAGCCGGUCUCAGUUCGGAUUGCAGGCUGCAACCCGCCUGCAUGAAGUCGGAAUCGCUAGUAAUCGCAGGUCAGCAUACUGCGGUGAAUACGUUCCCGGGCCUU
RNAcentral lists this ribosomal RNA (297 nucleotides) under uncultured Pelotomaculum sp. RNAcentral's name for it is "partial 16S ribosomal RNA". It matches the Rfam family "Bacterial small subunit ribosomal RNA", at positions 1082 to 1382 of the family's 1533-position model. The record is from RNAcentral. Lineage: Bacteria; Bacillati; Bacillota; Clostridia; Eubacteriales; Desulfotomaculaceae.